RNAcentral lists this transfer RNA (69 nucleotides) under Ictidomys tridecemlineatus (thirteen-lined ground squirrel). RNAcentral describes it as "Spermophilus tridecemlineatus (thirteen-lined ground squirrel) tRNA". It matches the Rfam family "tRNA". From Rfam's summary of the family: Transfer RNA (tRNA) molecules are approximately 80 nucleotides in length. Their secondary structure includes four short double-helical elements and three loops (D, anti-codon, and T loops). The record is from Rfam by way of RNAcentral. Lineage: Eukaryota; Metazoa; Chordata; Mammalia; Rodentia; Sciuridae.
GGGGCUGUAGCUCAUUGGUAGAGCGCCCGCCUCAUACGUGUGAGGCGCUGGGUUCAAUCCUCAGCACCA